This 414-nucleotide long non-coding RNA is filed under the name Gallus gallus (chicken). Lineage: Eukaryota; Metazoa; Chordata; Aves; Galliformes; Phasianidae. The record is from RNAcentral.
CUUUUAUAGAUACGGCGUACAUUUUGCAGCGUUAUUUGUACUACUGGUUUAGGAUAUCCAUUAAGAGGCUGGAAGUACAAGUUAGCAUCAGUAACACACACAUGCCCUGGAUUAGUCACCAGUGGUGUCACCAUUUCUGCUUUACAUUCCAUACGCAGCGUUUCAGAAAUGCUUUGAAAUCUGUUUUUAUCAAACGAAGUUCUAGCCAAACGGGAUUGCAGUAUAGCAGUUAUCAUGGCAGCUUGAUCUCCCAUCUUAUCUAGACAAGAAGCCCUGUAGAGCUGAUGUAGAGUUUGCACAACAUCUCCUAGUUUCCCGGCUACAUCCAGUUGGAAUAGGUGUUCUGUUUUACCUCUUACUGUUUUAUAGGGCGCAAUAACAUUUCUUUCUUUAAUGAGAAAAACCUGAUUACAC